AUGUACCAUAUAACUGGAAUUAACCCAUGCAAGUCGAAGAAGGAUUGGACGGUGCUACCGGCUGGCGUCAAGUUCGAUCCCACGGAUCAGGAGCUGAUCGAGCACCUUGAGGCCAAAGUGAGUGCUGACAGCGCGAGAUCUCACCCUCUCAUCGAUUUGUUCAUACCAACCAUCGACAGCGAGCACGUCAUAUGCUACACCCAUCCUGAGAAACUUCCAGGUAUCACACUGAGUGGCCUAAUCAAGCAUUUCUUCCAGCGCAAUUCUAGGGCGUUCAAAAGGGGCACGUGGACGCGUCGCAAGAUACAGUCGGAGUGCGGCAUGCACGCGAUGUGGCAAAACACCGGCAAUACCUUGUCGAUGAUGGUCAACGGCCGACAGACGGGCAGCAAAAAGGUUCUGGUGCUGCACACCAACAAGAACUUCGACCAGCAGAGGACCAACUGGGUGAUGCACCAGUACCACCUCGGGGACCUGGAGCAAGAGAAGGAGCGGGAGAUGGUCCUCUGCAAGAUUUUCUACCAGACAAACACUAGGGCCAGGAGUAAAAAGAUUAUAAGUUAG
RNAcentral lists this ribosomal RNA (564 nucleotides) under Triticum aestivum (bread wheat). Its description in RNAcentral is "partial small subunit ribosomal RNA". Lineage: Eukaryota; Viridiplantae; Streptophyta; Magnoliopsida; Poales; Poaceae. The record is from RNAcentral.